Molecule: ribosomal RNA, 429 nt
Filed under: uncultured bacterium
Lineage: Bacteria
Description: bacterial SSU rRNA
Rfam family: Bacterial small subunit ribosomal RNA
Source: RNAcentral
AACGAACGUUAGCGGCGCGCUUAACACAUGCAAGUCGUACGAGAAAGUCUCCUUCGGGGGGCGAGUAAAGUGGCGCACGGGUGAGUAACACGUGGGUAUCUACCUUUUGGCGGGGGACAACAUCUUGAAAAGGGUGCUAAUACCGCAUAAGUCCACUUCGGUGGGGAAAGAUGGCCUCUCCUUGGAAGCUAUCACCAAAAGAUGAGCCUGCGUCCCAUCAGCUAGUUGGCAGGGUAAAAGCCUACCAAGGCAACGACGGGUAGCUGGUCUGAGAGGAUGAUCAGUCACACUGGAACUGAGACACGGUCCAGACUCCUACGGGAGGCAGCAGUGGGGAAUAUUGCGCAAUGGGCGAAAGCCUGACGCAGCGACGCCGCGUGGGUGAUGAAGGUUUUCGGAUCGUAAAGCCCUGUGGGAGAGGGAAGAACA